This 359-nucleotide ribosomal RNA is filed under the name Klebsiella pneumoniae. RNAcentral describes it as "partial 23S ribosomal RNA". It matches the Rfam family "Bacterial large subunit ribosomal RNA", at positions 911 to 1267 of the family's 2925-position model. The record is from RNAcentral. RNAcentral also lists the same sequence under 1 other name. Lineage: Bacteria; Pseudomonadati; Pseudomonadota; Gammaproteobacteria; Enterobacterales; Enterobacteriaceae.
UGUUUCGGCUAGGGGGUCAUCCCGACUUACCAACCCGAUGCAAACUACGAAUACCGAAGAAUGUUAUCACGGGAGACACACGGCGGGUGCUAACGUCCGUCGUGAAGAGGGAAACAACCCAGACCGCCAGCUAAGGUCCCAAAGUCAUGGUUAAGUGGGAAACGAUGUGGGAAGGCACAGACAGCCAGGAUGUUGGCUUAGAAGCAGCCAUCAUUUAAAGAAAGCGUAAUAGCUCACUGGUCGAGUCGGCCUGCGCGGAAGAUGUAACGGGGCUAAACCAUGCACCGAAGCUGCGGCAGCGACACUAUGUGUUGUUGGGUAGGGGAGCGUUCUGUAAGCCUGCGAAGGUGUGCUGUGAG